Molecule: ribosomal RNA, 568 nt
Filed under: uncultured bacterium
Lineage: Bacteria
Description: bacterial SSU rRNA
Rfam family: Bacterial small subunit ribosomal RNA
Source: RNAcentral
AUCUACGGGAGGCAGCAGUGGGGAAUUUUCCGCAAUGGGCGAAAGCCUGACGGAGCAACGCCGCGUGAGGGACGAAGGCCUCUGGGCUGUAAACCUCUUUUCUCAAGGAAGAAGAUAUGACGGUACUUGAGGAAUAAGCCACGGCUAAUUCCGUGCCAGCAGCCGCGGUAAUACGGGAGUGGCAAGCGUUAUCCGGAAUUAUUGGGCGUAAAGCGUCCGCAGGCGGCUUUUCAAGUCUGCUGUUAAAGCGUGGAGCUUAACUCCAUCAUGGCAGUGGAAACUGAAAGGCUUGAGUAUGGUAGGGGCAGAGGGAAUUCCCGGUGUAGCGGUGAAAUGCGUAGAUAUCGGGAAGAACACCAGUGGCGAAGGCGCUCUGCUGGGCCAUUACUGACGCUCAUGGACGAAAGCCAGGGGAGCGAAAGGGAUUAGAUACCCCUGUAGUCCUGGCCGUAAACGAUGAACACUAGGUGUCGGGGGAAUCGACCCCCUCGGUGUCGUAGCUAACGCGUUAAGUGUUCCGCCUGGGGAGUACGCACGCAAGUGUGAAACUCAAAGGAAUUGACGGAAU